This 510-nucleotide ribosomal RNA is filed under the name uncultured bacterium. RNAcentral's name for it is "partial 16S ribosomal RNA". It matches the Rfam family "Bacterial small subunit ribosomal RNA", at positions 28 to 507 of the family's 1533-position model. The record is from RNAcentral.
GACGAACGCUGGCGGCGUGCUUAACACAUGCAAGUCGAACGAAGAGCGACGGAAGCUUGCUUCUAUCAAUCUUAGUGGCGAACGGGUGAGUAACGCGUAAUCAACCUGCCCUUCAGAGGGGGACAACAGUUGGAAACGACUGCUAAUACCGCAUACGAUCUAACCUCGGCAUCGAGGAUAGAUGAAAGGUGGCCUCUACAUGUAAGCUAUCACUGAAGGAGGGGAUUGCGUCUGAUUAGCUAGUUGGAGGGGUAACGGCCCACCAAGGCGAUGAUCAGUAGCCGGUCUGCGAGGAUGAACGGCCACAUUGGGACUGAGACACGGCCCAGACUCCUACGGGAGGCAGCAGUGGGGAAUCUUCCGCAAUGGACGAAAGUCUGACGGAGCAAAGCCGCGUGAGUGAUGACGGCCUUCGGGUUGUAAAGCUCUGUUAAUCGGGACGAAAGGCCUUCUUGCGAAUAGUGAGAAGGAUUGACGGUACCGGAAUAGAAAGCCACGGCUAACUACGUG